AUUUCAAAGAUAAAUAUAAGUUCAGGUAUAAAUAAAAACUAGACUAUUUUUGCGUUCGGAUGAAAAUUGGAUUGUUUCUGGGAAUAAAAAAUAUAGCGUUUGGAUAGAUAAGAUAGAACAAGAGGAGUAAUGGGUUGUUAUAAAUAAAAAAUAACAAUAUUACCCCUCUUAUUAAAUUUAAAUUUGAAUUUUUAAAUUUCAUAUUUGAAUUUUAAAAUUUAAAAUCUUAAAUUGUAAAUUUCAAAUUUUAGAAUUUUAAUUUUAAAAUUUAAAUUUAAGAUCAAAUUUAAAUUUAAAAAAUAUAAAAUAACAAAAUUUAAAUUUUAAAAUUUUAAAAUUUAAAAAAUUGUAAAUUGUAAAUUUAAAAUUAGAAAUUAUACAUUUUGUAAUAAAUUUAUAAUUCUCUCUCUCUCUCUCUCUCUCUUGGAGUUCCCACCUGUAACGACCCAGCCCACUAGCAAUAAUAACUCGUUGGGCCCAACCACCGGCCCAAAAUGUUUAAGCCCAGUUAUUAUUACAAGUGUCUAAGUCUCUUAUAAACCCAAUGACAAUCCCAUUCCCAUCCGACUCCC
This 572-nucleotide long non-coding RNA is filed under the name Ananas comosus (pineapple). RNAcentral's name for it is "long non-coding RNA (ACOM_LNC001896)". Lineage: Eukaryota; Viridiplantae; Streptophyta; Magnoliopsida; Poales; Bromeliaceae. The record is from RNAcentral.